This 934-nucleotide transfer RNA is filed under the name uncultured Synechococcus sp. RNAcentral's name for it is "partial contains 16S ribosomal RNA, 16S-23S ribosomal RNA intergenic spacer, tRNA-Ile, tRNA-Ala, and 23S ribosomal RNA". The stretch from base 309 to 381 matches the Rfam family "tRNA". The record is from RNAcentral. Lineage: Bacteria; Bacillati; Cyanobacteriota; Cyanophyceae; Synechococcales; Synechococcaceae.
UGGAUCACCUCCUAACAGGGAGACAACAACUGAUCGUGAUGUCUGAGUACUUUAUUCUCAGGCCAUGAUCCUGUCAUCUCGAAGGUCGAUCGGUACCUCAACUUCAAGGUUGGGAUGAAUGGGAUACUUCGGUAAGUCAUUCAUGCUCAAGUCUUGAUUUUUAGUUCCUAAACGUUGUCUAGGUCACCCCAUAGAGGGUUCACUUCCUGGGCCAUUAGCUCAGGUGGUUAGAGCGCACCCCUGAUAAGGGUGAGGUCCCUGGUUCAAGUCCAGGAUGGCCCAUGCCAAGGUCCAGUGAUGGAUCAUUUGGGGGUUUAGCUCAGUUGGUAGAGCGCCUGCUUUGCAAGCAGGAUGUCAGCGGUUCGAGUCCGCUAACCUCCACUAACAUCUGAACUCCUGAAGCAGGAAGCAAUUCUUGGGUGGUGACGUAGACGUUGUUCGCUGAUCAAGCUAGCUCGAUGAAUCGAGCAGAGUUCAGCCUCAGAUCAUUCCCCAAGCUUUGAUCGACCGAUCAAGGUUGAGAUGGUUGAUCUGAUGCUGGAUUCAGCGAAGGAGCCUCGCGAGGGGCUUUUUCAAUGAGAUUCAGCAGAACCUUGACAACUGCAUAGGUGAGUCUGGAAAGACAAAGCAUCUCAUAGAGGCGAGAUGAUGAGGUCUGAUGUUUCAUCAUUGAUGGAUGAUCAGAUUGAGUCAACUCGUGAUUCUAUUUUUGAGAGCCGAGACCUUCUAGCGUUCUUCCAACGGCGCCGAGCCGACGGGAGUCUGAUCCUUAUUUGCGGCAGAGCCGCUUGCGAUUGGGAGACCAAUCAAUAGCGAAGCUGCUUGCCAAAUUCGAGAGAAUAGGCCUCAACAGCCUGAAGCGUUAGGAGGAUACAUUUGGUCAAGCUACAAAGGGCUCACGGUGGAUACCUUGGCACACAGAGGCGAUGAAGGA